GAUGAACGCUGGCGGCGUGCCUAAUACAUGCAAGUCGAGCGAACAGACGAGGAGCUUGCUCCUCUGACGUUAGCGGCGGACGGGUGAGUAACACGUGGAUAACCUACCUAUAAGACUGGGAUAACUUCGGGAAACCGGAGCUAAUACCGGAUAAUAUAUUGAACCGCAUGGUUCAAUAGUGAAAGACGGUUUUGCUGUCACUUAUAGAUGGAUCCGCGCCGCAUUAGCUAGUUGGUAAGGUAACGGCUUACCAAGGCAACGAUGCGUAGCCGACCUGAGAGGGUGAUCGGCCACACUGGAACUGAGACACGGUCCAGACUCCUACGGGAGGCAGCAGUAGGGAAUCUUCCGCAAUGGGCGAAAGCUUGACGGAGCAACGCCGCGUGAGUGAGGAAGGUCUUCGGAUCGUAAAACUCUGUUAUUAGGGAAGAACAAAUGUGUAAGUAACUAUGCACGUCUUGACGGUACCUAAUCAGAAAGCCACGGCUAACUACGUG
RNAcentral lists this ribosomal RNA (497 nucleotides) under uncultured bacterium. Its description in RNAcentral is "partial 16S ribosomal RNA". It matches the Rfam family "Bacterial small subunit ribosomal RNA", at positions 28 to 507 of the family's 1533-position model. The record is from RNAcentral.